CCGGAAGUGGCGCUGUGGAGAGAGAGUGCCUGCGGGUGGAGAAAGGUCCAGUCGGGUGGAAAGCACCGAGGGCCCCAGGUGCAAUGAGGAGGAAGAAAGAAGGUCCUAAUAUUUAAACGCCUGAAAAACAAGUGGUUAUUGUUUUUCUUGGGAAAUGGAAGGCCUGGAAAGCGGAACUUGGGUUCAGUGGGCCGGGCAAUAGCAAUAAGGCGGCAGCACUGAAUAAAAUUCCAUUCUAUGGAUGUACCACAGUUUGUCCAUUCACCUAUUUGACGGACAUCUUGGUUGAUUCCAAGUUUGGACAAUUAUAAAUAAAGCUGCUAUAAAUAUCCACGUGCAGGUUUUUGUAUGGACAUAAAUUUUCAUCUCAUUUGGGUAAAUACCAAGGAGCGCAACUGCUGAAUCUUAAGGCUAUAUUAAUAGUGAUACUAAAUAGUGGGCUGAAUUGUGCCCCAGCGAAAGAUAAGGCCACAUCCUAAUCCAGAGAACCUGUGGCUAUUACCUUAUAAGGUAAAAGAUUGAAAACUACCUUAAAUGGCAAAAUAUGUGAUUAAGAAUUUUCAGAGGAAGAGCCUCUCCUGGAUUUUCUAGGUGGACCCUAAAUCCAGUGACAAGUGUUCUUAUAAGAGUGAGACGAAGGAAGAUAACAGACAGAAAAGGAGGAGGCAGUGUGACCACAGAGGCAGAGACUGGAGUGAUGCAGCUAUGAGUCAAGAAAUGCCAAGAGCCUCCAGAAGCUGGAAGAGGCAGAAACUGAUUCCUCCUCUACAGCCUCCAGAGGGACUGCAGCCCUGCUGACGCCUUGAUUUCAGAAUUCUGGCCUCCAAAACUACAGGAGAAUAAAUUUUGUUGUUUUAAGCCACCCAGUUUGUAGUAAUUUGUUACAGCAGCCACAGGAAACUAAUACACCAGGUCAGAUUGGCAGGGGAGAUAUUCUUCACGUAACAUGAAGAUUAACCCUGAGCUAGCAGAAG
RNAcentral lists this long non-coding RNA (974 nucleotides) under Equus asinus (donkey). RNAcentral's name for it is "lncRNA (ENSEASG00005037161.1)". The record is from RNAcentral. Lineage: Eukaryota; Metazoa; Chordata; Mammalia; Perissodactyla; Equidae.